UGGGGUGUAGCCAAGCGGUAAGGCAACAGACUUUGACUCUGUCAUCUCGGUGGUUCGAUCCCACCCACCCCAGCCA
This 76-nucleotide transfer RNA is filed under the name Bacilli bacterium. RNAcentral describes it as "tRNA-Gln". It matches the Rfam family "tRNA". Rfam says of the family: Transfer RNA (tRNA) molecules are approximately 80 nucleotides in length. Their secondary structure includes four short double-helical elements and three loops (D, anti-codon, and T loops). RNAcentral also lists the same sequence under 1 other name. Lineage: Bacteria; Bacillati; Bacillota; Bacilli. The record is from RNAcentral.